GGGGUCGGUCUCUGGCGGCUCGCGCCCGGGAAGGUCGGCCAGGGAGCGCGGGGUGCCGCGGGAGGGCGCGCGGGGACGCAGCGGGCGCCGAGGAGACACAGCGGCUGCGGUAGUGGCUACAGGAGCGGCGGCGGUAGCGGCGGCGACUGGGCCCGGCCGCAGCCCCUGCCUCCCGCCCGCGCGCCCUGCGUCCCGCCGCGGCCUGCAGCCUGCGGCGCCCGAGCUCCGAGGGCGCUUCCUCGGGCGCUGGGCCCGAGGCAGCCAAGACGGCGGGCCGGCCGGGCGCGGGGAGGCGGGCGCUGUGCUGCGGACUGCGCUGGUGGGGGGCGGCGGGCCUUGGCGCGGGCCCGGGCCCGGCGCGUGCGGCUGGGAGGCGCUGUGGGGGGCGGGCGCGCGGGCGGCGGCCGGGGCCUUGGCCGAGGUCGGCGGGGGCGCGCGGAGGAGGGCGCCGGCGCUGUUCUAGGCGGUCGGCGCGCGCUACGAGAGCCUGCACAUCUGGGACGACGUGUUUGGCGAGUCUGGCCCGGACAGCGGCGGGAACCCCUUCUACAGCACGUCCGCCGCCUCGCGCUCCUCCUCGGCCGCCUCCUCGGACGACGAACUCGAGCGCCCCGGUCCCCCGCCGCCUCCUGGCGCCCGCAGGAGUCCGACGAGGACGAGGCCAGCGCGGGUUAGAGUGCCACGCUGCGGGACCGCCCGCCCCCGCGCUUCGAGGACACUGGCGGAUCACUUGCUCAGAGCAGAGAAGAGUGAGAGGACAAGUUAGCAGCGUUAAGCUGUCUGCUCUCACUCCGGAAGGCAUUUGUGUGUUCUGCUUACCGACACGGUCAUGGUCAAGCCCCUGAUAUCUGGAGGUCGCAGGCCUGCUGGCAGUUGUGGCUGCUUGAAGUCCUCCUUUACUGCCUUCUUUUUGGGAAGGAAACUGUUACAAAAAGAAGAUCAUGGAUUGGGACAGAGGAUGAUUUUCUAGGAAGAAAAAAGCACAAGUAGAGGGAGAGGAUGAACAAGAAGCAGUAUCUGCACUGAGCAGGGAGCCAGAUGCAGGGCUGGAUCCCAGGACCCUGGACAGAUGCUGCACUGAGGGAGCCACCCAGGCACCCUUAGACCUAGGAUGCAGGUAAGAUCUGAAGGAGUCAAUCUGUUUCUUCUGUGGCUUCAAGCACUUCAGACAAACUUUGCAGAAGAGCAGGUGCUGAUUUUUGCUUGCCUCAUGCCUGGUUUCCCAGUGAUCAUGUCAUCCAGAGGGACCUGCAUGGUGGAGACACUCAUCAGUCCUAGCCCUGGUGUGGCGGAUGAUGAGGAACAUUUUAGCCAGCCUUACAGGUUGAAAUGACUCUGGAAGUUCUCUUGAGGGAUUCCUCAGCUUGUCAUGAUCCUGAAUAGAACCCUUUAUUUCAUAGAUGGGUUUGGAGGAGGAAUUAUCCCCUGCUCUUGUUCACAGUAAUGUCUUACAGACAUUAGAAUAGAAAGAAUCAGAGCCUUUUUUAUAUGCAAUGAGGACAGGAGACAUUUACUGAAGUGGUGGAAACAGGAAUGGAAGGGAGGACGCAGAUGUUGGAAACAGCAGGAAGUGGAGACACAUCAUGUAUCUGGAGUGUUUUCUUGGCUGUGAAUGAAAUUUAAAUCUGCCAUCCAAAACUACUGUUUAUUGUCCUCAGCACGAUUGUUUCACGAGUGGACAUUCAUCUGCUCACCCAGCUGUGAAUGUUCAUGCUGCAUUCAUGGGGAGACAGUAGCUGCUUCCUGGGAAAGUCAUGGCAACCAUCUGUGUCCCAUGAGUUUUUAAGGAACUUGCCAGUUAGGGCCAUUGAUUGAUUAAUGCACAUCACUUUAUUGCUCAAAGACAGGUAUUUGAUCCUUAGGCUGACCAAAGCAGAAUUUGGCAGAGAGAAGAAUAGUUUAGAGGGAGAGGUGGCUUCAUGGGACUUUGUACCAUAUAUCCAACCCCUUGAUGCUUGCUGGCCUGGAGUGUAGUGUGAGCAGGUUCCAAAGGAGGGGCAGAUGUAUUUUAAUGAAGGCCAUUUUUAAAAAACCCUUUGAACGUUGGUGAAAGAACUCCUUUUUUUCCCCACUCUGGAGCAAAGAUAUAUCCACAAGAAUCACUCCACUCUUGCUGGCCAUAUCAGGGGAAAGGAUCACUGAGGACCAAACAAGCUUUUUCUUUCCAGUACUAUUGAACUGUAUGGUUAUUCAGGUAAAAGCAAAAUCUUGGAUAAUUCAGGAAUGGUCUUCCUCUUGAUGGGAAAGAGGAAACAUUGCUUAUUUUCUCCCAGCUCAUCCAUAUUUAGUAUGUUUGUUGGUUUGUUUGUUUGUUUUUUGAAUUGAGUCUUUAUGAUAUUUCACUAGAACUUGAAUAUGUGCUAUAUCACAUCAGCAAAGACCUGGCAUACAUAAUAUUUUGUGUGAGAGUGUAUGUCAAGGAAACAUUUCAGUUCUCCCAUCUGCUUUCAUAUUACCAUAUUCACACAGAACACUUCACUUCUUUUUUUUUUUAAGAUUUU
Molecule: long non-coding RNA, 2501 nt
Organism: Mustela lutreola (European mink)
Lineage: Eukaryota; Metazoa; Chordata; Mammalia; Carnivora; Mustelidae
Exons: 5
Source: RefSeq, a predicted model, not a curated record